CAGCGCCGCUAGUGGGAAUCGUAUAUUUGGUCUAAAGCGUCCGUAGCCGGACAGGCAAAUCUUCUGUGAAAUUGGGAAGCUUAACUUUCCAGCGUGCAGAAGACACUACCAGUCUUGGAACCGGGAGGGGUACAGAGUAUUCCAGGGGAAGCGGUAAAAUGCUAUAAUCCCUGGAGGACUACCUAUGGCGAAGGCACUGUACCAGAACGGAUUCGACGGUGAGGGACGAAAGCCAGGGGAGCGAUCCGGAUUAGAUACCCGAGUAGUCC
Molecule: ribosomal RNA, 269 nt
Filed under: uncultured archaeon
Lineage: Archaea
Description: partial 16S ribosomal RNA
Rfam family: Archaeal small subunit ribosomal RNA
Source: RNAcentral